CAAAACAUGUUUUGGAGCAAAAAUGACAGAAACUCACAAAGAUAAUGUCAUAAUCUCACUACUGAUAUAUUAUAUGAGUUCCUUCAUGAGCUAGGCACGUUUACCAAUUUUUCUUAUCAAGGACAUUUUUUAGUUCCUGACUGGCAAAAGGUUUCUUCGUACUUUGGCUUUCAAAGAAAAUCACGAAAAAAAAAGCAGUGAUAUUAGUUCACACGACCAAGAAGGCCACGCUACAAGUAUCCUGCCUUCAUCAAACCUAUCUUUCACUGCCCUUAGUGCUUCGUGUGCCCAAUAGCAGAUAGCACUGCCUUGUUGGCACCACAUAUUAUUUAAAUCCGACUUAUCUAGUUUCGUAGAUGGAAAAUCCUGGAAAGCAACAUGUUUUCGCAGGGUCAAAAACACGGUCCAAUGGUAGCUCCCGCCCAGAAUUCGCACAAUACGGUUACCUUAAUCACGUAAUGUGGUUCUUAGUAAAUAGCAUGAGCGUCAUUGUGUGCUUAUUUAUGGCAGUUUUGUGUAUGCAUCAAGGCGAUUACGUACGAAUACAUUUAACCUGAGACGACGAUUUUUAUUACGAAUGUGGAUGGAUCGCGUUAAAACUGUUCUUCGACUUAUGUAUUAAACGUAUAACAUUUUGCAUGAUUUGCAAGCUUUAACUCUUGGGUUAACUGACUUUUUUUUACAGGAACGGACACCACGAUUUUCGUACAUAUGAGCUAGUAGAGUACGACAGACUUAUAUGUUAUCCUCUGCAAGAAAUUGUAGGUGUCAGGAUUUUCUGAAUUGCUGCCUUCAUGACUUUUCUGUGCGGAUUCUCCAUAAGGCAUGAAGUAACGGAUGCAGGAAACAGUCAAGAAGCUAAACGAGGAUAAAAACUAACGCGGAUCAUUGCGGUACUUUAGUAGCGGUAGCAGAACAGAGAAGCACCACUAGAGCACACGCAUUUCUCAAAUCAUUGAGUUCGAGGAAGCAUACAUAGAAAUGAUAAUUUUCUACGUUUAUUUGUGCUGGGAAGGCUGAUUGGCCCUGAGCAAGAUGUCGAUGGUUGCUAGUGCCGUAUGACAUAGUAUAACGAUGGUAUACUCCAUACACCUGGCUACAUUUGCCGAACAGGGAGAGCCACAAAUUCUUUAUUCACGGGCUUUUUGCCAAAGUUUGCCCCUGCCUCAGUCACCGCUGGAUAAGCUAUGCACGUUUAGCCUUCAAGGAGUUGACACCCUCAAUGACGAGCAAGAUAAGGAGCAGCAACUGCUUCGUAUUUCCGAAGGCAACGACGUUUUGGAUUAUUUGCUACGAGAGGGAAAAGCAGAAUUUCAUGCAGCGCUUGCGCGAAGCUCAGAAAAGGAAGCCAAAAUGCGUGACUUCCUCAAUGGGACCUUCCGGCUGAUGGGAUCGGAUCUGGCUGUCCACUGGAUAGCUACUCUUCGUGGUACUGUCCUCAUGACGAUUGCAGCAUCUUCAGAUCCUCCAUCGGUGAUUCGAACCAAUCUUCGUCUCUUAAUGACAUCGCUAUCUAACCGAAUUCGGUUGGACCAAACGCGUGAAGUGUUCCUGAAAUCGCACGUAAUUGCGCUCACCAUCAAGUAUUAUUUACCUUGUGGGCAACUGUUACUCCAGCCAGCUGUCAUUCAGAAACAGGUUGACGAAACCAUCGGAAAAUUGCUUAAAUAAUUGAGUGCGUGACUGCGCUAUGGCUUUUCUCCAAGACUGUAACCUUCAUACGAACAAUAUAAGCCUUUGCGUCUAUACCGUGGCAUCGCUUGGCAACUGAUGCCAGUGGAUACGAGGAGUCAAUAUAGAGGUGGCUGGCGUCAGGGAAGUCCAUCCUGGGAAGCCUGCCGAAACUGGAGUAUGCUAGACGCAUCCAAAAGUCGAUAUGUACUGAAUGCGCUCGAAGCCAUACUUGAAGCAUAAGGCGCAUGAGUACACGUAAUAUUUCGUUGUAGUAAUUAUUAAAUAGAAUCCAAUUUGCUUUUCGAUUCCCGUUAUGUCAAAUGGCCUACUAGCAGUGGUGUGUAUUUGUCGCCUCGAUAGUACUUUUAAGUAGAACGUUGCAAAAGUUAUUGAACUUCCAAGGGUUACCUGCAACUUUAUAACUACAGAAGACUUUUUAAUUUCAGUCUGAAACGGAAAUAGGAUUAUUAGUUCUUCAAGGUUGUACUUUUUUGCUUCUAUACUUGGUACAUUACUGUAUUUUGAAUUCGAAAAUCGAAAAGUAAAAAAGCUUGAUUGCAAAAUAAUAAAAUAGUAACUUUAUCGGAUAGAAGUAUCUAGAAUACAAAACAUAUGUAGUAAAUGCAGAGGCGGGACUUACCUAUUAUUAGAAAAUAUUGCCAGUAUGUAAAUACAAAGCGUUUCACAGUGUUCUACAAAUUUUUGUGCACUUAAACCCUCUAUGAUACAUAGAAUCAUACAGUUGUUUGUUGAGGAGAUUCACAAUACCACAGAAAGGUAGAAGUUACGUCAACAAUGAUAACUGGCGCAGUCGAGGCUCAGCAAAUCCAAAGUGACUAGAAAAAGCCUGCUUCGUCCAAAACAAGUCAACGUGCCACUAUUGGAGAGCAAGUUGUGAUACUUGAGACAUUUGAUACAUGAAAGGAAAUCAUUUAACUAGGAUUAUGUCGUUCCAAGCAAAUAAAGCUAGGUUUCAAUUAAUUUAUUUAACUUUUUUUUUUAAAUAGUUUGCACUUCUUUCCAAUACAGAUUUAUUCAUAAUUUGGAAUCGGUGGAAUAACACCUCAUAUUUAGGUUUUGAAGCCAGAGGAACCGUAUAGUAUUCUAAAUAAAUGAUCUUGGAAUAACUUGAAAAAUAAAUGCAAUUAAAAAACCUUACAAAAUGUAAUAACCUGUACUUCGAAAAAGUGAUUCUUUUGAAGAACGGACGACAAUUUUGCGAGUUAUUAGAAUCGGUGUGUUUGUUA
Molecule: non-coding RNA, 2921 nt
Organism: Varroa destructor (honeybee mite)
Lineage: Eukaryota; Metazoa; Arthropoda; Arachnida; Mesostigmata; Varroidae
Source: RefSeq, a predicted model, not a curated record